Non-coding RNA from Xyrichtys novacula (pearly razorfish), 508 nucleotides. NCBI's taxonomy places the organism in Eukaryota, Metazoa, Chordata, Actinopteri, Labriformes, Labridae. The record is from the annotation of a GenBank genome assembly.
CCGCACAGUUGAAGAGAGUCGCUGUGAUGACACUCGGCUCAAACAGCAUAUCCCCCGGGAGAGCUACGCAAUCCCUGAACGCCCAUAGGCUGUAUCAGGUGUCAAUCAUAGCAAACAUGAACCCCUAAUAACUUUUAAAAAUGGAGCUUCACAGAAAAAAAGAGGACUUGGGCACAAACCAGUCUGACAGUAACUACAUGUCAACAUCACAAUCAGGAGGGAUAAAAAUGUAUGUUCUGUGUAAUACAUUUUUUAAGUUUGUCCACUGCUCCAUAAUCUUUGCUGGCGGAGGCGGGAUUUAUGACCUAUACUGCAGCCCAUCAACAGAGGGUGCUGUUCUCGGAGUGGCUUCACCCAGCGAGGAGGCAGACUCUGUCCAUCUUAUAUACAGUCUAUGGCAGGUGUCAAUCAUAGAAAACAUGAACCCCCUAAUAACUUUUAAAAACAGAGCUGUACAGAAAAAAGAGGACUUGAGCACAAACCAGUCUUACUGUAACUACAUGUCAAC